CCUACGGGUGGCAGCAGUGAGGAAUAUUGGUCAAUGGGCGAGAGCCUGAACCAGCCAAGUCGCGUGAAGGAUGACGGCCCUACGGGUUGUAAACUUCUUUUGUCAGGGAGCAAUUGGGUCCACGCGUGGGCUUAGCGAGAGUACCUGAAGAAAAAGCAUCGUCAAAUACCGGGCCAGCAGCCGAGGUAAUACGGAGGAUGCGGGCGUUAUCCGGAUGUAUUGGGUUUAAAGGGUGCGUAGGCGGAAUAUCAAGUCAGAGGUAAAAAUUCGGGGCUCAACCCCGUAGUGCCGUUGAAACUGGUGUUCUUGAGUGCGCGAGAAGUAUGCGGAAUGCGUGGUGUAGCGGUGAAAUGCAUAGAUAUCACGCAGAACUCCGAUUGCGAAGGCAGCAUACCGGCGCGCAACUGACGCUGAAGCACGAAAGCGUGGGUAUCGAACAGGAUUAGAUACCCGUGUAGUC
RNAcentral lists this ribosomal RNA (460 nucleotides) under uncultured bacterium. RNAcentral describes it as "partial 16S ribosomal RNA". It matches the Rfam family "Bacterial small subunit ribosomal RNA", at positions 338 to 795 of the family's 1533-position model. The record is from RNAcentral.